GGCGAGUGGCGGACGGGUGAGGAAUACAUCGGAAUCUACCUUUUCGUGGGGGAUAACGUAGGGAAACUUACGCUAAUACCGCAUACGACCUUCGGGUGAAAGCAGGGGACCUUCGGGCCUUGCGCGGAUAGAUGAGCCGAUGUCGGAUUAGCUAGUUGGCGGGGUAAAGGCCCACCAAGGCGACGAUCCGUAGCUGGUCUGAGAGGAUGAUCAGCCACACUGGAACUGAGACACGGUCCAGACUCCUACGGGAGGCAGCAGUGGGGAAUAUUGGACAAUGGGCGCAAGCCUGAUCCAGCCAUACCGCGUGGGUGAAGAAGGCCUUCGGGUUGUAAAGCCCUUUUGUUGGGAAAGAAAAGCAGUCGGCUAAUACCCGGUUGUUCUGACGGUACCCAAAGAAUAAGCACCGGCUAACUUCGUGCCAGCAGCCGCGGUAAUACGAAGGGUGCAAGCGUUACUCGGAAUUACUGGGCGUAAAGCGUGCGUAGGUGGUUGUUUAAGUCUGUUGUGAAAGCCCUGGGCUCAACCUGGGAAUUGCAGUGGAUACUGGGCGACUAGAGUGUGGUAGAGGGUAGUGGAAUUCCCGGUGUAGCAGUGAAAUGCGUAGAGAUCGGGAGGAACAUCCAUGGCGAAGGCAGCUACCUGGACCAACACUGACACUGAGGCACG
RNAcentral lists this ribosomal RNA (669 nucleotides) under Stenotrophomonas sp. Its description in RNAcentral is "bacterial SSU rRNA". It matches the Rfam family "Bacterial small subunit ribosomal RNA", at positions 90 to 755 of the family's 1533-position model. Lineage: Bacteria; Pseudomonadati; Pseudomonadota; Gammaproteobacteria; Lysobacterales; Lysobacteraceae. The record is from RNAcentral.